Molecule: long non-coding RNA, 1259 nt
Filed under: Olea europaea subsp. europaea
Lineage: Eukaryota; Viridiplantae; Streptophyta; Magnoliopsida; Lamiales; Oleaceae
Source: RNAcentral
CCCCACCCUCCCGCUUUCGCAUCUUCCAUCUUGGUUUACCCUAGCAGUCGCUCUAAGCUUUCUCAUCCUACUGAUAGUAUUUUAGGCGAACUCGCUUGCAGCACCCGCUUCUCGGGUCUGGUUCUAGUUCUUCGUUGCUGUGCCAGUGCCAUCUAAACAAUGCCAUGGGCCGACCAGUCCGUCACAUCCACUGCUACAACUUCGAGUAAAGCUAAAGAAAACUCAUAGUUACUGUGUGAUUUCGGCCUCCUAGGUAAAUGGGUUUCUUAUUUUACUCUUCUUUUACUUGAACUUGUUGAAUCGUGGUUGUUGGUAUUAAGUGGGUUCCAUGAAUGUGCAGGAUACUAUACGAUUUCGGCCUGUUAUGUAAAUGGAUUUCUUCUUUUACUCUUCUUUUCUUUUAUGGCAUUUUAUGAUUAUUUUUUCUUGGUUUUGAUUUCGUUCAUUUUUGUAGGAGUAUUUUUCUCCUAUGGGCUGGUCACUCAAGAGGGACAUUGUAUGGUGUGUCUAGGGAGGCGGCUGUUGCGUUUGAGGAGGUGAUACGGGUUAGGGAUAUGGUGGAGAGAUAAAUCCUCUUAGUGAGUUAAUCGUUAAUUUUUGAAGCUGAUAUAUGUAGUUGAAAUUUAGCAUCAUUUGUUUAUAAAGUUCAUGUGACAACGGAUAUGCUCUAGCUGGGAACUGUUAUAGGUGAACAUUAAUAAAUGUAGUAUAUUUUCAUAGUUUUAAUUUUUGCCAUGUCUUUUUUAAUGAUGAUUUAGGCUUUCAUGUGGUGAUUUCGACUGAGUUUUUAACUUGUGAGCUUUUCUCUUGUUACUAGAGGUUUUUACCUAUGGGUGUAGGGUUUUUUUCAUUAAAAAUAGAAUUUACUAUUCAAUUGAUGUUGAUUUUGUCCUCCUUAUUCUCUCUUUCUCCUAAGUUCUUCUCUUCUACCUUCUUCCUUCUCUUUUAAAUUCUCGUGAUCUCUUAUGCACCAAAUGCUUCAACUGGAUUCCAUUUUAUUCAGCUUCUCGAUGUUACGUCAAAUUUCAAUUGCUAAAUACGAGCUGUUGCAAGUCUUGAAUUGAAUGAUUGGUGAAUACCAUCAAAUUUCAACUGAUUUGGGUGUCUAAAUGUGAAUAAAUUGCUUUGCUUUGGUUCAGGAUUUUCUGAGAAGUAGAGAAGCUGGUGUGUUCCUUAGUGGUGCUUUAGCGGGACCAUAACCAAAGCCAUUCUCGCUCUUGAGACCAUCAGGUUUUCUAUUUCCCCUUCACUGAUCCUGG